Molecule: transfer RNA, 61 nt
Filed under: Rhipicephalus sanguineus (brown dog tick)
Lineage: Eukaryota; Metazoa; Arthropoda; Arachnida; Ixodida; Ixodidae
Also listed under: 1 other name
Description: tRNA-His
Source: RNAcentral
GUUUAAUUAGUUUAAAUUAAAAUUGUAAAUUGUGGAUUUACAGAUGUAUAGUCAUUAAACA